UGGGGAAUUUUGGACAAUGGGCGCAAGCCUGAUCCAGCCAUGCCGCGUGUGUGAAGAAGGCCUUCGGGUUGUAAAGCACUUUCAGACGGAACGAAAUCGCGCGGUUGAACAUUCCGCGUGGAUGACGGUACCGUAAGAAGAAGCACCGGCUAACUACGUGCCAGCAGCCGCGGUAAUACGUAGGGUGCGAGCGUUAAUCGGAAUUACUGGGCGUAAAGGGUGCGCAGGCGGCCCCGCAUGUCAGGCGUGAAAUCCCUCGGCUUAACCGGGGAACUGCGUCUGAUACUGGAUGGCUUGAGGUUGGGAGAGGGAUGCGGAAUUCCAGGUGUAGCGGUGAAAUGCGUAGAUAUCUGGAGGAACACCGGUGGCGAAGGCGACAUCCUGGACCAAUUCUGACGCUGAGGAGCGAAAGCCAGGGGAGCAAACGGGAUUAGAUACCCCCGUAGUCCCUGAGCGGGCUGGCAAGGCGCAU
RNAcentral lists this ribosomal RNA (472 nucleotides) under uncultured bacterium. RNAcentral's name for it is "bacterial SSU rRNA". It matches the Rfam family "Bacterial small subunit ribosomal RNA", at positions 355 to 825 of the family's 1533-position model. The record is from RNAcentral.